AUUGAACGCUGGCGGCAGGCCUAACACAUGCAAGUCGAACGGUAACAGGAAGAAGCUUGCUUCUUUGCUGACGAGUGGCGGACGGGUGAGUAAUGUCUGGGAAACUGCCUGAUGGAGGGGGAUAACUACUGGAAACGGUAGCUAAUACCGCAUAACGUCGCAAGACCAAAGAGGGGGACCUUCGGGCCUCUUGCCAUCGGAUGUGCCCAGAUGGGAUUAGCUAGUAGGUGGGGUAACGGCUCACCUAGGCGACGAUCCCUAGCUGGUCUGAGAGGAUGACCAGCCACACUGGAACUGAGACACGGUCCAGACUCCUACGGGAGGCAGCAGUGGGGAAUAUUGCACAAUGGGCGCAAGCCUGAUGCAGCCAUGCCGCGUGUAUGAAGAAGGCCUUCGGGUUGUAAAGUACUUUCAGCGGGGAGGAAGGGAGUAAAGAUAAUACCUUUGCUCAUUGACGUUACCCGCAGAAGAAGCACCGGCUAACUCCGUG
RNAcentral lists this ribosomal RNA (490 nucleotides) under uncultured bacterium. RNAcentral's name for it is "partial 16S ribosomal RNA". It matches the Rfam family "Bacterial small subunit ribosomal RNA", at positions 30 to 507 of the family's 1533-position model. The record is from RNAcentral.